This 393-nucleotide ribosomal RNA is filed under the name uncultured bacterium. RNAcentral describes it as "partial 16S ribosomal RNA". It matches the Rfam family "Bacterial small subunit ribosomal RNA", at positions 523 to 918 of the family's 1533-position model. The record is from RNAcentral.
AUACGGAGGAUGCGAGCGUUAUCCGGAUUUAUUGGGUUUAAAGGGUGCGUAGGUGGUAGAUUAAGUCAGCGGUGAAAGUUUGUCGCUCAACGAUAAAAUUGCCGUUGAUACUGGUUUACUUGAGUAUAGUUGAAGUAGGCGGAAUGCGUGGUGUAGCGGUGAAAUGCAUAGAUAUCACGCAGAACUCCGAUUGCGAAGGCAGCUUACUAAGUUAUAACUGACACUGAAGCACGAAGGCGUGGGUAUCAAACAGGAUUAGAUACCCUGGUAGUCCACGCAGUAAACGAUGAUUACUAACCGUCGGCGAUAGACCGCCGGUGGCCAAGCGAAAGCGAUAAGUCAUCCACCUGGGGAGUACGACCGCAAGGUUGAAACUCAAAUGAAUUGGCGGGG